GACGAACGCUGGCGGCGUGCUUAACACAUGCAAGUCGAACGCUGAAGCUCAGCUUUUGUUGGGUGGAUGAGUGGCGAACGGGUGAGUAACACGUGAGUAACCUGCCCCCUUCUUUGGGAUAACGCCCGGAAACGGGUGCUAAUACUGGAUAUUCACUGGUCUUCGCAUGGGGGUUGGUGGAAAGGGUUUUUCUGGUGGGGGAUGGGCUCGCGGCCUAUCAGCUUGUUGGUGGGGUGAUGGCCUACCAAGGCUUUGACGGGUAGCCGGCCUGAGAGGGUGACCGGUCACAUUGGGACUGAGAUACGGCCCAGACUCCUACGGGAGGCAGCAGUGGGGAAUAAUGCACAAUGGGCGCAAGCCUGAUGCAGCGACGCCGCGUGAGGGAUGGAGGCCUUCGGGUUGCGAACCUCUUUCGCUCAUGGUCAAGCCGCAACAAUGGUUGUGGUGAGGGUAGUGGGUAAAGAAGCGCCGGCUAACUACGUG
This 483-nucleotide ribosomal RNA is filed under the name uncultured bacterium. Its description in RNAcentral is "partial 16S ribosomal RNA". It matches the Rfam family "Bacterial small subunit ribosomal RNA", at positions 28 to 507 of the family's 1533-position model. The record is from RNAcentral.